AUGGGCAAAAGAGAUCCUGAGAAGCCGAGAGACAAAAUGUCAUCAUAUGUAUUCUCUGUGCAAACUUGGGAGGAGCAAAAAGGGAAGCACCCACAUGUUUCAAUCAACUUCAGAGAGGUGGAAGACCAUGUUUUCCAGCAAGAAAGAAAAACUAGAAGACAUGGCAAAGGCGUACAAAGCCCAUUAUAAAGGAGAAUCCCAGUGGAGAGACAAAAAAGAAGGUCAAGUAUCCCAUCACACCCAAGAGGGCUUCUUCAGCCUUUUUCUUGUUCUGUUCUGAGAAUCACCCAAGAAUCACAGGAGAAUAUCCUGGCCUAUCCAUUGGUGAUGUUGUGACGAACCUGGGAGAAGAGGAAUAACACUAUAGCAGAUGACAAGCAGCCCUAUGAAAAGAAGGCUGCAAAGCUGAAGGAAAAAUACAAAAGGAUAUCCCUUCAUACUGAGCUAAAGGAAAACCUGGUGCAGCAAAAAGGGAGUCGUCAAGGCUGAAAAACCCAAGAAAAAGAAGGAAGAAGAGGAAAAUGAGGAAAAUGAAGAGGAUGAGGAGAAGAAAGAUGAAGAAGAAGAUGAUGAUGAU
RNAcentral lists this long non-coding RNA (577 nucleotides) under Homo sapiens (human). RNAcentral describes it as "non-protein coding lnc-ROBO1-3:1". The record is from RNAcentral. Lineage: Eukaryota; Metazoa; Chordata; Mammalia; Primates; Hominidae.